This 353-nucleotide ribosomal RNA is filed under the name uncultured Methanolinea sp. RNAcentral describes it as "bacterial SSU rRNA". It matches the Rfam family "Archaeal small subunit ribosomal RNA", at positions 98 to 456 of the family's 1478-position model. The record is from RNAcentral. Lineage: Archaea; Methanobacteriati; Methanobacteriota; Methanomicrobia; Methanomicrobiales; Methanoregulaceae.
ACGUGGACAACCUACCCUGUGGAGGGGGAUAACCCCGGAAAACUGGGGAUAAUACCCCAUAGGUUAGGGUGGCUGGAAUGCCCCCUAGCUCAAAGGUCCGCCGCCACAGGAUGGGUCUGCGGCCGAUUAGGUUGUUGUUGGGGUAACGGCCCAACAAGCCUUUGAUCGGUACGGGUUGUGGGAGCAAGAGCCCGGAGAUGGAUUCUGAGACACGAAUCCAGGCCCUACGGGGCGCAGCAGGCGCGAAAACUUUACAAUGCGAGAAAUCGUGAUAAGGGAACCCCGAGUGCCCGUAAAUUCGGGCUGUCCGCCAGUGCAAAAAACUGGUGAAGAAAGAGCCGGGCAAGACCGGU